This 71-nucleotide transfer RNA is filed under the name Loxodonta africana (African savanna elephant). It matches the Rfam family "tRNA". From Rfam's summary of the family: Transfer RNA (tRNA) molecules are approximately 80 nucleotides in length. Their secondary structure includes four short double-helical elements and three loops (D, anti-codon, and T loops). The record is from Rfam by way of RNAcentral. Lineage: Eukaryota; Metazoa; Chordata; Mammalia; Proboscidea; Elephantidae.
ACAUCGGUGGUUCGGUGGUAGAAUUCUUUCCCUUCAUGCAGGAGGCCCAGGUUUGAUUCCUGGCCAAUGCA